RNAcentral lists this transfer RNA (72 nucleotides) under Bos taurus (domestic cattle). It matches the Rfam family "tRNA". From Rfam's summary of the family: Transfer RNA (tRNA) molecules are approximately 80 nucleotides in length. Their secondary structure includes four short double-helical elements and three loops (D, anti-codon, and T loops). The record is from Rfam by way of RNAcentral. RNAcentral also lists the same sequence under 5 other names. Lineage: Eukaryota; Metazoa; Chordata; Mammalia; Artiodactyla; Bovidae.
UCCCUGGUGGCUCAGAUGGUAAAGCAUCUGCCUACAAUGCAGGAAACCCAGGUUCAAUCCCCGGGUUGGGAA